UGGGGAAUAUUGCACAAUGGGCGCAAGCCUGAUGCAGCCAUGCCGCGUGUGUGAAGAAGGCCUUCGGGUUGUAAAGCACUUUCAGCGAGGAGGAAGGUGGUGAGCUUAAUACGCUCAUCAAUUGACGUUACUCGCAGAAGAAGCACCGGCUAACUCCGUGCCAGCAGCCGCGGUAAUACGGAGGGUGCAAGCGUUAAUCGGAAUUACUGGGCGUAAAGCGCACGCAGGCGGUUUGUUAAGUCAGAUGUGAAAUCCCCGGGCUCAACCUGGGAACUGCAUUUGAAACUGGCAAGCUAGAGUCUCGUAGAGGGGGGUAGAAUUCCAGGUGUAGCGGUGAAAUGCGUAGAGAUCUGGAGGAAUACCGGUGGCGAAGGCGGCCCCCCUGGACGAAGACUGACGCUCAGGUGCGAAAA
This 413-nucleotide ribosomal RNA is filed under the name uncultured bacterium. RNAcentral describes it as "partial 16S ribosomal RNA". It matches the Rfam family "Bacterial small subunit ribosomal RNA", at positions 355 to 759 of the family's 1533-position model. The record is from RNAcentral.